Molecule: ribosomal RNA, 429 nt
Filed under: Chloroflexota bacterium
Lineage: Bacteria; Bacillati; Chloroflexota
Description: Chloroflexi bacterium partial 16S ribosomal RNA
Rfam family: Bacterial small subunit ribosomal RNA
Source: RNAcentral
UGGGGAAUAUUGCACAAUGGGCGCAAGCCUGAUGCAGCCAUGCCGCGUGUGUGAAGAAGGCCUUCGGGUUGUAAAGCACUUUCAGCGGGGAGGAAAGCGUUAAGGUUAAUAACCUUGGCGAUUGACGUUACCCGCAGAAGAAGCACCGGCUAACUCCGUGCCAGCAGCCGCGGUAAUACGGAGGGUGCAAGCGUUAAUCGGAAUUACUGGGCGUAAAGCGCACGCAGGCGGUCUGUCAAGUCGGAUGUGAAAUCCCCGGGCUCAACCUGGGAACUGCAUUCGAAACUGGCAGGCUAGAGUCUUGUAGAGGGGGGUAGAAUUCCAGGUGUAGCGGUGAAAUGCGUAGAGAUCUGGAGGAAUACCGGUGGCGAAGGCGGCCCCCUGGACAAAGACUGACGCUCAGGUGCGAAAGCGUGGGGAGCAAACAGG